Molecule: transfer RNA, 72 nt
Filed under: Myxococcales bacterium
Lineage: Bacteria; Pseudomonadati; Myxococcota; Myxococcia; Myxococcales
Description: tRNA-Gln
Rfam family: tRNA
About the family: Transfer RNA (tRNA) molecules are approximately 80 nucleotides in length.
Source: RNAcentral
UCGGGAGUCGUCCAGCGGCAAGGACGCCUGGCUCUGGACCAGGUAGCGGGGGUUCGAAUCCCUCCUCCCGAA